ACACAUGCAAGUCGCACGAGAACCCUCAGCUUGCUGGGGUAAGUAAAGUGGCGCACGGGUGAGUAACGCGUGGGUAAUCUGCCCUCGAAUCUGGGAUAACCCCGCGAAAGCGGGGCUAAUACCGGAUGAAAUCCAGUCAGCUUUGGCUAUAUGGAUCAAAGGUGGCCUCUGCAUGCAAGCUACUGUUUGGGGAUGAGCCCGCGUACCAUUAGCUUGUUGGUGGGGUAAAGGCCCACCAAGGCGACGAUGGUUAGCUGGUCUGAGAGGAUGAUCAGCCACACUGGAACUGGAACACGGUCCAGACUCCUACGGGAGGCAGCAGUGAGGAAUUUUGCGCAAUGGGGGUAACCCUGACGCAGCAACGCCGCGUGAGUGAUGAAGGCCUUCGGGUCGUAAAGCUCUGUCAAGUGGGAAGAACCCAUUCCGGCACAACAAGCCGGGGUGCUGACGGUACCACUGAAGGAAGCACCGGCUAACUCCGUGCCAGCAGCCGCGGUAAUACGGAGGGUGCGAGCGUUAUUCGGAAUUACUGGGCGUAAAGGGCGCGUAGGCGGCCGAUUAAGUCAGAUGUGAAAUCCCGGGGCUUACCCCCGGAAGUGCAUUUGAUACUGAACGGCUUGAGUAUGGGAGAGGGAAGUGGAAUUCCUGGUGUAGCGGUGAAAUGCGUAGAUAUCAGGAGGAACACCGGUGGCGAAGGCGACUUCCUGGACCAAUACUGACGCUGAGGCGCGAAGGCGUGGGGAGCAAACAGGAUUAGAUACCCUGGUAGUCCACGCAGUAAACGGUGAUCACUAGGUGUAGCGGGUAUUGACCCCUGCUGUGCCGGAGUUAACGCAUUAAGUGAUCCGCCUGGGGAGUACGGCCCGCAAGUUAAACUUCACGGACUUGCGGGGGCCCGCACAGGCGUGGUCCUUGUGGUUUAUUCGACGCAACGCGAAGAACCUUACCUGGAUUUGACUCUCGGGAUCCCGGGGAACGCGGGAGUGCCCUUCGGGGAGCCCGAAGACAGGUGCUGCAU
This 1018-nucleotide ribosomal RNA is filed under the name uncultured organism. RNAcentral's name for it is "bacterial SSU rRNA". It matches the Rfam family "Bacterial small subunit ribosomal RNA", at positions 51 to 1046 of the family's 1533-position model. The record is from RNAcentral.